GCUCUCAUAGUCCAAUCUGGAUAGGACGCGGGCCUCCGAAGCCUGAAAUUCGGGUUCAAAUCCCGAUGAGGGCGC
Molecule: transfer RNA, 75 nt
Filed under: uncultured archaeon
Lineage: Archaea
Description: tRNA-Arg(ccg)
Rfam family: tRNA
About the family: Transfer RNA (tRNA) molecules are approximately 80 nucleotides in length. Their secondary structure includes four short double-helical elements and three loops (D, anti-codon, and T loops).
Source: RNAcentral